Molecule: non-coding RNA, 211 nt
Organism: Pelobates cultripes (western spadefoot toad)
Lineage: Eukaryota; Metazoa; Chordata; Amphibia; Anura; Pelobatidae
Source: the annotation of a GenBank genome assembly
CUGGCAUAUUAAAUGCUGCAUGAUUAUUUCAGCCAAUCAGGAAUUUCAAAGAUAAGGAAAAAACUAUUGGCAGUCCUCCUGUCUCCCGGAGAAUGCAGACUUUUUGGGAUAAAAAUGAAAGAAAUCGGUUUCAAAGAUUUCACACAUAUUUUCUUCUGUCUUUUAUAGGAAUCGAACGUUAAUUGAAGCAUUACUGAUUCUUAAAUCCUUC